This 474-nucleotide ribosomal RNA is filed under the name Bacillus thuringiensis. RNAcentral's name for it is "bacterial SSU rRNA". It matches the Rfam family "Bacterial small subunit ribosomal RNA", at positions 627 to 1099 of the family's 1533-position model. The record is from RNAcentral. Lineage: Bacteria; Bacillati; Bacillota; Bacilli; Caryophanales; Bacillaceae.
UGGAAACUGGGAGACUUGAUUGCCGAAAAAGAAAGUGGAAUUCCCUGUGUAGCGGUGAAAUGCGUAGAGAUAUGGAGGAACACCACUGGCGAAAGCGACUUUCUGGUCUGUUACUGACACUGAGGCGCGAAAGCGUGGGGAGCAAACAGGAUUAGAUACCCUGGUAGUCCACGCCGUAAACGAUGAGUGCUAAUUGUUAGAGGGUUUCCGCCCUUUACUGCUGAAGUUAACGCAUUAAGCACUCCGCCUGGGGAGUACGGCCGCCAGGCUGAAACUCAAAGGAAUUGACGGGGGCCCGCACAAGCGGUGGAGCAUGUGGUUUAAUUCUAAGCAACGCGAAGAACCUUACCACGUCUUGACAUCCUCUGAGCGCCCUAGAGAUAGGGCUUCUCCUUCGCGAGCAGAGUGACAGGUGGUGCAUGGGUGUCAUCAGCUCGUGUCGCGAGAUGUUGGGUUAAGUCCCGCAACGAGCGC